This is a small nuclear RNA of Malaya genurostris, 141 nucleotides long. RefSeq annotates it as U4 spliceosomal RNA. The transcript has a single exon. The record is from RefSeq and is a predicted model, not a curated record. NCBI's taxonomy places the organism in Eukaryota, Metazoa, Arthropoda, Insecta, Diptera, Culicidae.
AGCUUUGCGCAGCGGCGAUAUCGUAACCAAUGAGGUACAACCGAGGUGCGAUUAUUGCUAGUUGAAAACUACAUUUCUUUACGCGUACUGUCAUGUUAUUUCUGUAACACUACCUGUAAGACCUUCUAAAUAUUUAUAUAG